GACUCCAUCCACGGGUAGCCCUUUCCUACUCGAGCCCUCUCACCCUACCCAAGUGCUAGGUCGGCUCUGAAUUUCAUAUCAAACAGAUAGAAGGUGAAGUGGGAUUCCAAACAUAAUAUGGUCUAUCUAUUUCUGAAUGACCACCAAACAUAAUCUAGAGCAUCGCGGGCUCUAAGCACAUACCCUUUACCAUUUCUGGCAAAAGUCCAAAUAAUCCCACAAACACCAUAGUACAAAAGGGUAUUGUGAACAAUAAAUUGGGAC
This 264-nucleotide long non-coding RNA is filed under the name Musa acuminata (dwarf banana). RNAcentral's name for it is "long non-coding RNA (MACU_LNC011295)". Lineage: Eukaryota; Viridiplantae; Streptophyta; Magnoliopsida; Zingiberales; Musaceae. The record is from RNAcentral.